This is a long non-coding RNA of Tachysurus fulvidraco (yellow catfish), 2230 nucleotides long. RefSeq lists it as uncharacterized. Lineage: Eukaryota; Metazoa; Chordata; Actinopteri; Siluriformes; Bagridae. The transcript is spliced from 3 exons. The record is from RefSeq and is a predicted model, not a curated record.
AUUAAAAAGUGACUACUGUGUGUAAAGCUGGAGUGAGGAUGAGUAUGCUCCAAUGCUAAUGAUUAAUGAUGCGGCUCAUGCGCAUGCUAAGCUGGGAAUCUUGCAUCCUCCCUGGGGUAUGAUCCCACUGAAAGCUCUCAGAAAAAAAAAAUCUUAAAUGAAAACAUCAAGGCUUUUCCACAUUUCAGCAAGGCAUGCUCAUGUAACCAUCCUGAGGGAUGUUACGGAUUUGAAAAGGAGAGACAAAAUGAAAAGGACAGAAGAAAAGGCAGUGAAAGAGAAAACCUUAGUCAAAUGUAUCCAAGCUAUGGACAGAUGUUGGGUGGUCCAGCAGGAUAUCCUCAGAGCUUUGUUAGAUGUUCUAAAGAUGAUGAGGUGUUAUAUUUGAUCAAAAGCAGCUGAGCAGGUUUCCUCCGGGCCCUUGGGUUUUCUUCCAGCAACCAAAAAGAGCAUUGUGAAGGAGUGUGGGAGUAUGUCUACAUACAGUAGUGACUUGUGAUUGACUAGUGUACCAGUCACAGGGAGAAGUCCCAGGUCAUAUCAGGAGAAGUCCCAACUCAUACCCAGUGUUCCAGGAGUGGUUCUGAAUUUAGUAUGAAUUAAUUAAAGAAUAAACAACACACAACAAUUAUAUUCACAAUUGUACUAAGGUCAGAACGAACUAAAAGGACUAUCAUUAAAUAAUAAACUUGAAAUGAAAUGAUAAUCUAUUCUACAUUUUACCAGCAACAUCAUUAGAUUCUCUUGGCAGAAACAGAUGCAAAUAUGCUAUAAGACCUUCUCUAAACCCUAUCUGUAAGGUGUUGAACUCUGAUGUUUGUAGAGUUAUGAUCAUAUAACAACGUGGUCAUGAUAUUGUAGGCGACAUAAUUAUAAAGUGAGGUUGUCAUUAUAACAGCCCAUUUAAUCAGCCUGUGGGAUUUUGAUUGUAGUUUUGAUUGAAUUUCAUUGUCCUUCUAACAGGCUCCCUGUAAAGACAUAUAGACCCAUGGCUGCUAAAUAUUUAAAGACUGUUCCAAAGUGUCCAUCAAUCUGCUGGAGGUUAAAGAUCAUCUUUAAAAUGACUGCUGAGAGGGAGGGAGAAAGACAAAAAUGAGGGAUAGAAGCAAGAAGAUAAGGAGUGAGAAGAAGAGAGCACUGAACGAGAAGGAACCAUGUCCUCCUCUGGAAAGAAGGAGAUAGAAUGAGGACGGCCAUUCUGGAUUUAAAGACUGUCAUGUAUGCAGCUUGUAUGAGUUUGAUGCAGAGGCAAACAUUAUUCUACAAAACAGUCCCAGAUGAGUAGUUGCAAAAUAACUCUCUCUCUCUCUCUCUCUCUCUCUCUCUCUCUCUCUCUCUCUCCCCCUCUCUCUCUCCCUCUCUCUCUUUUUCUGAGUGGAGCAGAGGCACUGAAAAAAGGAAUGACUUUACUGACCCAGUUGAGCUAAAAUUAGUGUGAUGUAAAACAGCACUGACUCUUAUCAAAAAAUACGAUUGGUGACUGUGAAUAAAAAGUGCAAAAGUGUGUGUGUGUGUGUGUGUGUGUGUGUGUGUGUGUGUGUGUGUGUGUGUGUGUGUGUGUGUGUGUGUGUGUGUGUGUGUGUGUGUGUGUGUGUGUGUGUGUGUGAAUUGCAUGAAUAGUGUUUGCAGAGCAUUUCGGUGUGCACACAAGCACCAACAUUUCCAUGAGAUCACAUAAAAAGAUGGGCACAGCUGCACAUACUAAACAAGAGGAAGUGGAAACACUACAAGAUGAAAACAGACAGACACCAACAAUGCGUUAAUGUACAUUAUCAUAUACAAUCUGCCACAUACCAAAUAUUCACUCAUGCAAAACACUCACCUGCCAUGCAAAACUGAUUCAUUUGACAAGUACGGAAGUGUAAGUAAAAAUGCUUUGCUUGAGUAUUGCAUAUAGAAUAGCAUUCAUGUGUGACCUCUAUGGUUAAGGUCUGUAUCUUUAAAGCCUUUAUGGUAGUUUUUAUGUAGUUUAUGUAAUGUCAGUGUGGUCCACUCAUGAACUGAUGAGUGAGUGUCUGUUUACAGUGUGCAUUAUGACUGACAAUGCCUAACUCAUCUGAAAUCAAUACUAUUCUCCUCUCCAUUUAAAUCAAAGACUGGAUAGUCAUUUGUCCAAAUCUGUGCUGACUCGAAAAUUAGUAAGACCUAAACUUAUCUCUUUUUAAUUGACUCUCCUGGCAUUUCUUGGAAUAUAUCUCUCUUGCAAUUUCCAUCAAUGCUUAUUGGAAUG